UGGGGAAUUUUGGACAAUGGGGGAAACCCUGAUCCAGCCAUCCCGCGUGUGCGAUGAAGGCCUUCGGGUUGUAAAGCACUUUUGGCAGGAAAGAAACGUCGCGGGUUAAUACCCCGCGAAACUGACGGUACCUGCAGAAUAAGCACCGGCUAACUACGUGCCAGCAGCCGCGGUAAUACGUAGGGUGCAAGCGUUAAUCGGAAUUACUGGGCGUAAAGCGUGCGCAGGCGGUUCGGAAAGAAAGAUGUGAAAUCCCAGAGCUUAACUUUGGAACUGCAUUUUUAACUACCGGGCUAGAGUGUGUCAGAGGGAGGUGGAAUUCCGCGUGUAGCAGUGAAAUGCGUAGAUAUGCGGAGGAACACCGAUGGCGAAGGCAGCCUCCUGGGAUAACACUGACGCUCAUGCACGAAAGCGUGGGGAGCAAACAGGAUUAGAUACCCUGGUAGUCCACGCCCUAAACGAUGUCGACUAGCUGUUGGGGCCUUCGGGCCUUGGUAGCGCAGCUAACGCGUGAAGUUGACCGCCUGGGGAGUACGGUCGCAAGAUUAAAACUCAAAGGAAUUGG
This 565-nucleotide ribosomal RNA is filed under the name uncultured bacterium. RNAcentral's name for it is "partial 16S ribosomal RNA". It matches the Rfam family "Bacterial small subunit ribosomal RNA", at positions 355 to 913 of the family's 1533-position model. The record is from RNAcentral.